ACAAUGCUGAUGUUUUUGAGUAC
RNAcentral lists this microRNA (23 nucleotides) under Sus scrofa (pig). RNAcentral describes it as "partial non-coding RNA". Lineage: Eukaryota; Metazoa; Chordata; Mammalia; Artiodactyla; Suidae. The record is from RNAcentral.